CUAGCGGGUGAACGAAAUGUCUUAGGACAACGAUUUUUUCAUCAGAUUAGCGCGCGUGGCGUCCGUCGGGUAUGUUCCGGUGACUACUUACUGGAGUUAAUGGAGUUAUGAAGUUUAACUUUAUGUGUUUAACGUGAAUACAUUUAGAAUCUCUGCGUGGAAUAGUAAAGAAGUGCGUAUCAUCAAUUCUACAUACAAUUUGCGGAAACGUGUUUGUGCGCCUUAUCCUUUAUUGAUAGAAAAACAAAGGAGUAAGUAGCAUCAAAUAAGAUUUUACUUUUAUUUAACAUUUUAAAUCUUACACCAUGUUAUUGCUUUAUAAUAAUUGAAAAUGAUUCAGUCAAUAAAGGCUACUUUAAUUUUA
Molecule: long non-coding RNA, 364 nt
Organism: Dalotia coriaria
Lineage: Eukaryota; Metazoa; Arthropoda; Insecta; Coleoptera; Staphylinidae
Exons: 2
Source: RefSeq, a predicted model, not a curated record